This 73-nucleotide transfer RNA is filed under the name Heterocephalus glaber (naked mole-rat). It matches the Rfam family "tRNA". From Rfam's summary of the family: Transfer RNA (tRNA) molecules are approximately 80 nucleotides in length. The record is from Rfam by way of RNAcentral. Lineage: Eukaryota; Metazoa; Chordata; Mammalia; Rodentia; Bathyergidae.
GGGGGUGUAGCUAAGUGGCAGAGCACUUGCCUGGCAUGUUCAAGGCCCUGGGUUUGAUCCCCCAGCACCGUCA